AUUGAACGCUGGCGGCAUGCUUUACACAUGCAAGUCGAACGGCAGCGCGGGCUUCGGCCUGGCGGCGAGUGGCGAACGGGUGAGUAAUACAUCGGAACGUGCCCAGUAGUGGGGGAUAGCUCGGCGAAAGCCGGAUUAAUACCGCAUACGACCUGAGGGUGAAAGCGGGGGAUCUUCGGACCUCGCGCUAUUGGAGCGGCCGAUGGCAGAUUAGCUAGUUGGUGGGGUAAAGGCCUACCAAGGCGACGAUCUGUAGCUGGUCUGAGAGGACGACCAGCCAAACUGGGAACGAGACAAGGCCCAGAACCCUAAGGGAGGCAGCAGUGGGGAAUUUUGGACAAUGGGCGAAAGCCUGAUCCAGCAAUGCCGCGUGUGUGAUGAAGGCCUUCGGGUUGUAAAGCACUUUUGGCGGGAACGAAAAGGACUGUGCCAAUACCACGGUUCGAUGACGGUACCCGCAGAAUAAGCACCGGCUAACUACGUG
This 484-nucleotide ribosomal RNA is filed under the name uncultured bacterium. Its description in RNAcentral is "partial 16S ribosomal RNA". It matches the Rfam family "Bacterial small subunit ribosomal RNA", at positions 29 to 507 of the family's 1533-position model. The record is from RNAcentral.